This 21-nucleotide microRNA is filed under the name Ascaris suum (pig roundworm). Its description in RNAcentral is "asu-lin-4-5p". Its record names the gene asu-lin-4-5p. Lineage: Eukaryota; Metazoa; Nematoda; Chromadorea; Rhabditida; Ascarididae. The record is from miRBase by way of RNAcentral.
UCCCUGAGACCUCUGCUGUGA